Molecule: long non-coding RNA, 1841 nt
Organism: Bactrocera neohumeralis
Lineage: Eukaryota; Metazoa; Arthropoda; Insecta; Diptera; Tephritidae
Exons: 3
Source: RefSeq, a predicted model, not a curated record
UUAAUCGAUUGCAAUUUUUUUUAUAUUUUGUAGGCAACUCGAACACGGAAAAGUUAAAAAUAGAUCAAUUCCAUUUGUUUGCCAUUUUGAAUAUAUAAUCAUAGAUAUUAAUCGAUUGUAGUUUUUAUAUUUUGUAAGCAACUCGAACUAGAUAAUUUAAAUCAUACUUCAUACUACGUUCGGACCGACAUUGAAAACAUUUUGAAAACACAUUUGGAUGUUGUGGAAUCUAAGUCGUUCGGACCAACAAUUUGUGUUUUCACUGACAACUCACAAAUCUAUUUGUUUGUUUACAUUUGAGCAACGAGAAUGAAUUCUGAGAAAAAGAUAUUAAUUGCGAAAGCAUUGGCUUUGAGAAGCCAAAUAAAUACCCUGCUCAACGACAAUUCUUCAAGAGAAAUAUUAGAAAGUCUUAGUACUCAGCACCAUGCCUUAGCAAAAAAGAUAGCCGAGUUAAAGAAACAAUAUUUAAUCGUAUUAGAUUUAAUAAAGGACCUUGGGAUGCCGAUUAAUUCAUGUUGGAUAAAACUGUGUAUAUGUUCCUACUGACGAAAAAGUUUUCAAUUAUGUAUUAUUAAUUCCAGCAACGUAAGAAUCAGUUUUGGGAACACGAUUGUCAACGAAAUGGAUCUGCUUUUUUUAAAGAAAACUUUCGUAUGGACAAAAGUUCCUUUGAUAAAUUAUCCUCCGCCCGCUACAAAAAAUGGAUACGAAUUACCGAAAAGCUAUUCCUGUAAAGAAAAGAGGGCUAUUACAUUAUUUGCUUUAGGGUCAUCUGCAGAGUAUCGGAGUAUCGCCAACAUGUUCGGUGUGCAGUGGCGUAGCUACAACUUCGGGCGCCCGGGGCCAAGGAUGUUCUGCCGCCCCCCUUUAUCUACCUACCUACAAGUUUCAUGAGGAACUGGAAGCCACGCAAAUUCUGAUGUUGCAAAAUUCUCACAAUACGGUUUUUGAGGAAAUUGAUAGUAAAUUUACAAGACAUCUUAUUAAAAGCCAUAGAAAAACCCAUUUUCGCCCUAUAUCUUGUACACUUUUGACACAAAAAAGCUGUUAUUAAUAUAUAUUAAAAAACAGCGAAGAUCGUUUUGCCGCCCCCAAGGCAUUGCGCCCGGGGCGACUCAAUAUACAUGUAAGUACAUAACUAAUGUUUGCAAUGUAUUUUCAGAUACCGUUUUACUUAUAUAAACAUAGGAAGUCCCGGGCGAUGUAAUGACUCUCAAAUUUAUGAGACGUCAUCACUUAAGAAAGAAAUAGAUAAUUGUCUUUACUAAGCGAAAUGUCUCGAGACAUUUCAGGAAUAAAUGUGAGAGUAUUUAUUAUUGGGGAUUCGGAUUUUCGUUUUAGCAAACAAAUGAUGAAGCCGUAUCCAUUCGGCGUAAAUCAAAAUCAUCGUGAGAAGGAAUUCAACUACACUCUUUCGAAAACACGUAGAGUGGUCGAAAAUGCUUUUGGACACCUCAAGGCCCGCUUUCGACGCAUCGGAGAAGGAAUUGACAACUCUGUACGGAAUGCCAACUCAAUUAUAAAAGCAUGUUGCGUCCUUCACAAUUUUUUAAGUGAUAACAACGACACGCUAAACGCUAGAUGGUUACGCGCUUUGGAAGAGUUGGAGACUAGACGCCAAAAUCCGUGUGAUGUUUUAUAUGCAUCUGAUGACCCAAUUAAUGGAGAAACGAUUCGGACAGCACUUUGUGCAUAAUUUGGUAAGUACAUGUGUAUAUUGUAUCACAAUGUCUACAUUUUACACAAUUACAUAUGCAUUAAAUCAAUGAUAAAGUUGUACACACAAAACUAAAUUUAAUUUUAUUUUCCAUAUAAAAAUAAUUUUAAUUAUAACUCAA